RNAcentral lists this unclassified non-coding RNA (204 nucleotides) under Hevea brasiliensis (rubber tree). The record is from RNAcentral. Lineage: Eukaryota; Viridiplantae; Streptophyta; Magnoliopsida; Malpighiales; Euphorbiaceae.
CUUGUGAGAGGUGGUGGUAAAAGGUUUUGGUGGAUGUAGGGAGUGAUGUGGAGCUAUUGUAUAUUCUUGUUUAGAGUUGGAACAAAUAUGGAUGGAGAUGGUGGGGAUGACAAGCAUGGUAAUGUAAGAGGAGAUGGAAAUAGUGGUUUUAGUGGAUGAGCAUAUUUUUUUGUGACAAGCAGGGUUGUCGAUCUUUGGUUGGGG